Pelobates cultripes (western spadefoot toad) is the source of this 221-nucleotide non-coding RNA. The record is from the annotation of a GenBank genome assembly. Lineage: Eukaryota; Metazoa; Chordata; Amphibia; Anura; Pelobatidae.
CACAGUCAUGUUCUCUCUCCACAUUUUCACACAGCACAUGAAAUACAUUUGCUUCAGGCACAUAUUGGCACAUAUAUUCAUUCAGCCCCCUCUACCUAGAAGGCUUUUCCGAUACAUUUUCACAUGACACAUUUGACACCCCUUGGUUAGGCACACACUCAGGGCCGGCGCGUCCAUAAGGCGGCACAGGAGGCCGCCUUAGGGCGCACCGGCACUGGAGG